This 28-nucleotide non-coding RNA is filed under the name Mus musculus (house mouse). The record is from RNAcentral. Lineage: Eukaryota; Metazoa; Chordata; Mammalia; Rodentia; Muridae.
GUGUGCUCCCACAUGUACCCAGGGUCUG